Non-coding RNA from Acanthosepion pharaonis, 99 nucleotides. NCBI's taxonomy places the organism in Eukaryota, Metazoa, Mollusca, Cephalopoda, Sepiida, Sepiidae. The record is from the annotation of a GenBank genome assembly.
GUUGAAACACUGAUUUUCGUCUGGUCACCGAAGUUAAGCAGCGUUGAGCCUGAUCAGUAAUUAGAUUGAGGACCGCUUGGGAAUACCAGGUGCUGUAAG